Homo sapiens (human) is the source of this 2496-nucleotide long non-coding RNA. RefSeq annotates it as GALNTL6 antisense RNA 2. Lineage: Eukaryota; Metazoa; Chordata; Mammalia; Primates; Hominidae. The record is from RefSeq and is a predicted model, not a curated record. The transcript is spliced from 2 exons.
UAACUUGCCUAGGAAUAGUCUUUUGCUCGUUAUAAACUCCAUUCCCCUCCCAUUAACACUUCCGUAAUAUUACUAAAAAUGGGAACUGGUCUGUACUGAAGCUGUAUAAGCUGAAACCAGAUGAAUUCUAAGAGGUAAGUUUCGUGCCUGAUGUAUGGGUCACACAGAAAGUUCACCAAACUGCCUGGUGCCAUAACCAGAAACAUUCAAACUGCAAACUAGAAUGAUAAGUUGAUAGCUGCAUGCUGUAGAUAGCUUUUUUCCAAGACAUUGGAACAAGACUCCAUAUCAUAAUGAGACUCUUUCCCCUUUUAACGCCUACUUUUUACACUUGGCAGGAUAAUGGUGUAAUUGAAAUUUCACAUUCAGUAGCUUCUGCUGGUAACUUGACUGAACCUGAGCUAUGAGAUGCUUUAGUCUACCUAGUGGAGGUACAACCCCUAUGAGAGUAAUGUUGGCCUAGCACUUUGAGAUGAUAAUCAAUACCUGUGGAACAGACAUAUUGAACUUACCAUGGACCCAGGUAGACCUAGCCUGAGAACCACUACCUCCAUACCUCCUUUGAAAUUGCUCAAAUGUAGAUAAGAAAGUUUUGACACUGACUUACUCAUCAAUUACUGUCUCUGAUGUGGGACCAGACCAGACCAACCAGGACAGGUUCAUCUAGGCACCAAGGGACAAUCAAAACUUAAAUACAGGAAAUUGAUCAUCAAUGCUUGUGGGUUGUGGGUAAAGAUCUUGAUCAAAAGGAGGAAAUGUCUGAAAGCUGUAAGAAUCAAAAUGGAGUCACUUGUGUUAAAACCCUGACAAAUAGAGCUGGGGAAGGCCAUGAAGUGAGGGUUCUUAUAUAUGAAUGCCUGAUAACAAAAACUAUCACAGAAGACUGCAAAAACCACAAUCUUGUGCAAAUGUAAUUACAAACUUACACACACACACACACACACACACACACACACACACACAAUGCUUCUUGAGAACAUCUGCCAAGCAACUGCCUGUCCAAACUUGGACUUGUGCCACCCUUGUUAUUAAUCUUUGUCGCCAAGUAUAAUUAUCUCAAAAUAAUUAUGUAAUUCUCAUUUUUUCUUUAAAAUGCUUUGUCUUCUUUUACCUUCCUGAAUAUGCACAUAGUUUACUAUGGCCUGUGUAUUCCCAUUGCAAUGCCGAUUCUCAAAUACAUACCAUUUUCUUUUAGAGAGUCUCCCUCUCUGUUAUUAAGGUUGACACAAUCAACCUAAACACAGAAGGCUGAAGGGCUUAGAGGACUUUGCCUAGAGGAAAAGGUGCUGCAAUGUUCAUUAGCCCAUUUUCAGUUUUAUAGGCAAACUAGGCCUGCCUAUCACCGAGACCAAAAACUCUCCAACUUAGUUAGGCAUAUCUCACCCUUCUGCUAUUGGUUCAGGUUUCGACAAAGCCUCCUCUUAAAGGACACCUUAUCCUCUCUGCUCUAGGACCCUAAACAUUGGCAACUCUGACAGGAAAGUUUCAGAAUUCUAUGUUCUGUCCAUUAUCAUUCUCUUUCUAUGGAAAACUCAAUUCCCCACCCCACCCCCCGACUUUAUUUUUACCUUGUUCAUACUCUUGUGUGUUAGGGUGAAUCACGGUCCCCAAAAAUAUCCAUGUCCUAGGACCCAGAACCUAUCAAUAUGUUACUUUACAUGGAAAAAGAACUUUGCAGAUGUGGUCAAGUCAAGGAUAUGGGGAUGAAGAGAUGAUUCUGAAUUAUCCAAGGGUCCUUAUAAAAGAAAGUUAUAUGAGAAAAAAAAGGGAUAAAGGCUAUGUGAUAUGAGGCCCUGAGUAAAAGAAUGAGGGCAGCCACUAAUGUUGGAAAAGGCAGGGAACAGGUACCACCUUCAAAAUUCCAGAAGGAAUCUGUUCUGCUGGCACCUUAGUUUUAAUCCCAUAAGAUUCAUUUUAAACUUCUGACCCCCAGCACUUGAGAGGAAAAAUUUGUGUUGUUUGAAGCUCCUAAGUUUGUGAUAGUUUGUUACAGCAACAAUUGGAAACUAAUAAAUCUUUAACAUGUUCUUGGAAACUAUGAAAGAAGGGUAUUUGAAAUAGACCCUAUUAUGGCUCUAUUAUGACUUACACCAUUGAGAUUCUGGUGUACAGAACUGGGAAAAAGUAGUCAAGUGGGAAGAAAUCCUCAAUACGUUGUCUUCAUAAUGCUUGUUUCUUACUCUGUAUGCUACUUAUUAAAUUUUACAUAUAUUAGUCUGCUCAAUUUUUACAAAAUGUGUUGAGCAGGUAGGGAAGAAACUCUUGAGCUCUUUUUACAGCUAUAGAAAAUGAGGUGCACAAUGUUUAAGUCAUGUAGCUUAAAUCAUACAGAAAAUCAGUUCAAAACUCAAAUUCUUGGGCUCCUCACCAGACCUUACUGAAUGAGAAUCUUUGUAGAUUUUUAUGCACAUUGAAGUUUGUGAUGCAUGAGUCCAGAACAGAGGUUGGCAUGCAGCUUGCAGGUUGAUUUUGUAAAUAAAGAUUUGAUAGAACAUG